This 235-nucleotide ribosomal RNA is filed under the name uncultured bacterium. RNAcentral describes it as "partial 16S ribosomal RNA". It matches the Rfam family "Bacterial small subunit ribosomal RNA", at positions 15 to 249 of the family's 1533-position model. The record is from RNAcentral.
GAUCUGGCUCAGAUUGAACGCUGGCGGCAUGCCUUACACAUGCAAGUCGAACGGCAGCAUGGAGAGCUUGCUCUCUGAUGGCGAGUGGCGAACGGGUGAGUAAUACAUCGGAACGUGUCCGUUUGUGGGGGACAACCGUCCGAAAGGAUGGCUAAUACCGCAUAAGACCUGAGGGUGAAAGCCGGGGACCGCAAGGCCCGGCGCAGACGGAGCGGCCGAUGAUUGAUUAGCUAGG